This 165-nucleotide unclassified non-coding RNA is filed under the name soil metagenome. Its description in RNAcentral is "partial internal transcribed spacer 1". The record is from RNAcentral.
AAGAUUCGGCCCUUGGGCCAAACCUCCCCAGCUGUGCGCUUCGGCUGCACGUUGGUUAAACCUCACACACCUGUGAACAUUCCGGUUGUGGCCUGUCUUUUGGCAUCCCACUUCCGCCCCUUUACAUAAAACUACCAAGUCUAGAAUGUAAAAACUAUAAAGUAA